GCAGCCACCGGCAGCGCGUGGGAGCCGCUCUUAUAGUGACCACCAGCAAGGACAAGGCAGGUGAUGCACCUGUAGCUGGCCAGGCAUGCGCACUGCACGCCUCACCUUUCCCACCGCGGGUCUGCAAAGAUCAGAGAGGCCAGCUAUUGUCUCGGGCCUGAGAGGGAAAUGAGAAGGAUGUUCAUUUGCUGGUGCAAGAAGGAGCCACUUCUUCAUCCAUUAUGUGAUUCCCCAGGGAGCGCUAAAUGCAACUUUAUCUCAGCAGGAAUGGACCAUGAGCGGGACAUCGCUGGAGGGAAAGAGUCAAACGAUCACUGUUGUCGGCUUAACAAGGCCACCGGCCCCUGGGCUUUAGGGCCCUGAAGAACAGGGGCUCCACUGCUCCAUCUGCGCCCUGCGGGCUCAAGGCUGGAGGAGCGCGCCGCCGUUCAGAGAAGGCGCGUCCAGGUCCCCGGGUUAAAAAAAACAACCACAGACAAACUCGUCCACAGGUACGCUGGCCCCUGACCCCACGCGACACGAUGCAAGUUCUGUAGCCUUCCCGUGUCAGACACCCGCUGACCGGCCGCUGGGUCCCAGACACACGCUCGCCCCGCUUUCGGGACCCGCUACCGGCGACGAGGACCAGCAGUUCCGGACAUCUCCAUCUGAGGAUGGAGAAGGGCGCGCUCGCCGGCCGGCCUCCGCUGGCUCCCCUCGGCCUCCAGAAACCGGAUCCCUCGAGGGUCUGGAAGCCGGGGAGGAAACCGCGCGGCAGCCAGUCCAAGCCCGGAAGUGCAGAGCUGGGUCCUGCCGCCCGGCUCUCCAGCUCGCUGCGCUGCCGCCAGCCGCCCCUCCUUCCCGCCGCCCGCACAAAUCAAAGCCCCUUGCGAGGGACUGGGAAAUAGUUGCCUUGUCAUGUAACACAUUGCCCUGAUUUAUUAUAAAAUUUUAACGAAAUCAUG
This is a long non-coding RNA of Peromyscus leucopus (white-footed mouse), 944 nucleotides long. RefSeq lists it as uncharacterized. The record is from RefSeq and is a predicted model, not a curated record. NCBI's taxonomy places the organism in Eukaryota, Metazoa, Chordata, Mammalia, Rodentia, Cricetidae. The transcript has 3 exons.